UCUCAUGUGCCUAUAUGAGACUAAGUUUAGUUGGAUGAGUGGUUGACCUUUGUGUAGGAUCCCAUGUUCAUACUAGCCAAAGAUGCCAGACAGUUGCACUCUAGGAAGAUUCCACUAGUUAUGGUUCAGCAAAGGCACUGCACAGUAGAGAAGUCUACUUGGGAGAUAGUGAGUGAGAUGUGGAACCAGUAUUCUCAUAUG
Molecule: long non-coding RNA, 201 nt
Filed under: Capsicum annuum
Lineage: Eukaryota; Viridiplantae; Streptophyta; Magnoliopsida; Solanales; Solanaceae
Description: long non-coding RNA (CANN_LNC009978)
Source: RNAcentral